AAAGUCGUAACAAGGUUUCCGUAGGUGAACCUGCGGAAGGAUCAUUAUCGAGUUUUGAAAGGGGUUGUAGCUGGCCUUUCGGGGCAUGUGCACGCCUCGCUCAUUUCCAACUCUAACACCUGUGAACUAGCUGUAGGUCGGUGUAGGAGUCGGUUCUAACGAGCCUUCUUCAAGCCUUCCUAUGUCUUUAACAAACUCCAAUAGUAUCAGAAUGUAUUCGCGCUUUAUAAACGCAUCAAUAUAACUUUUAGCAACGGAUCUCUUGGCUCUCGCAUCGAUGAAGAACGCAGCGAAAUGCGAUAAGUAAUGUGAAUUGCAGAAUUCAGUGAAUCAUCGAAUCUUUGAACGCAUCUUGCGCCCUUUGGUAUUCCGAAGGGCAUGCCCGUUUGAGUGUCAUUGUAUUCUCAAAUCCCUUCACUUUUGUGAAGUCGAUUUGGAUUUGGGGGUUUGCGGGCUUAUAUGGUCUGCUCCCCUUGAAUGCAUUAGCUGGAACCUUUUGCUAGACCGGCUUCGGUGUGAUAAUUAUCUGCGCCGUGGUCGUAAGGCGACUUGUCGAGGAUCCGCUUCCAAUGGUCUCUUUUAGAGACAAACUU
This 593-nucleotide ribosomal RNA is filed under the name Tyromyces odorus. RNAcentral's name for it is "eukaryotic LSU rRNA". The stretch from base 243 to 396 matches the Rfam family "5.8S ribosomal RNA". Lineage: Eukaryota; Fungi; Basidiomycota; Agaricomycetes; Polyporales; Incrustoporiaceae. The record is from RNAcentral.